This 2173-nucleotide ribosomal RNA is filed under the name Escherichia coli AI27. RNAcentral describes it as "bacterial LSU rRNA". It matches the Rfam family "Bacterial large subunit ribosomal RNA", at positions 671 to 2826 of the family's 2925-position model. Lineage: Bacteria; Pseudomonadati; Pseudomonadota; Gammaproteobacteria; Enterobacterales; Enterobacteriaceae. The record is from RNAcentral.
GGGAAACCGAGUCUUAACUGGGCGUUAAGUUGCAGGGUAUAGACCCGAAACCCGGUGAUCUAGCCAUGGGCAGGUUGAAGGUUGGGUAACACUAACUGGAGGACCGAACCGACUAAUGUUGAAAAAUUAGCGGAUGACUUGUGGCUGGGGGUGAAAGGCCAAUCAAACCGGGAGAUAGCUGGUUCUCCCCGAAAGCUAUUUAGGUAGCGCCUCGUGAAUUCAUCUCCGGGGGUAGAGCACUGUUUCGGCAAGGGGGUCAUCCCGACUUACCAACCCGAUGCAAACUGCGAAUACCGGAGAAUGUUAUCACGGGAGACACACGGCGGGUGCUAACGUCCGUCGUGAAGAGGGAAACAACCCAGACCGCCAGCUAAGGUCCCAAAGUCAUGGUUAAGUGGGAAACGAUGUGGGAAGGCCCAGACAGCCAGGAUGUUGGCUUAGAAGCAGCCAUCAUUUAAAGAAAGCGUAAUAGCUCACUGGUCGAGUCGGCCUGCGCGGAAGAUGUAACGGGGCUAAACCAUGCACCGAAGCUGCGGCAGCGACGCUUAUGCGUUGUUGGGUAGGGGAGCGUUCUGUAAGCCUGCGAAGGUGUGCUGUGAGGCAUGCUGGAGGUAUCAGAAGUGCGAAUGCUGACAUAAGUAACGAUAAAGCGGGUGAAAAGCCCGCUCGCCGGAAGACCAAGGGUUCCUGUCCAACGUUAAUCGGGGCAGGGUGAGUCGACCCCUAAGGCGAGGCCGAAAGGCGUAGUCGAUGGGAAACAGGUUAAUAUUCCUGUACUUGGUGUUACUGCGAAGGGGGGACGGAGAAGGCUAUGUUGGCCGGGCGACGGUUGUCCCGGUUUAAGCGUGUAGGCUGGUUUUCCAGGCAAAUCCGGAAAAUCAAGGCUGAGGCGUGAUGACGAGGCACUACGGUGCUGAAGCAACAAAUGCCCUGCUUCCAGGAAAAGCCUCUAAGCAUCAGGUAACAUCAAAUCGUACCCCAAACCGACACAGGUGGUCAGGUAGAGAAUACCAAGGCGCUUGAGAGAACUCGGGUGAAGGAACUAGGCAAAAUGGUGCCGUAACUUCGGGAGAAGGCACGCUGAUAUGUAGGUGAAGUCCCUCGCGGAUGGAGCUGAAAUCAGUCGAAGAUACCAGCUGGCUGCAACUGUUUAUUAAAAACACAGCACUGUGCAAACACGAAAGUGGACGUAUACGGUGUGACGCCUGCCCGGUGCCGGAAGGUUAAUUGAUGGGGUUAGCGCAAGCGAAGCUCUUGAUCGAAGCCCCGGUAAACGGCGGCCGUAACUAUAACGGUCCUAAGGUAGCGAAAUUCCUUGUCGGGUAAGUUCCGACCUGCACGAAUGGCGUAAUGAUGGCCAGGCUGUCUCCACCCGAGACUCAGUGAAAUUGAACUCGCUGUGAAGAUGCAGUGUACCCGCGGCAAGACGGAAAGACCCCGUGAACCUUUACUAUAGCUUGACACUGAACAUUGAGCCUUGAUGUGUAGGAUAGGUGGGAGGCUUUGAAGUGUGGACGCCAGUCUGCAUGGAGCCGACCUUGAAAUACCACCCUUUAAUGUUUGAUGUUCUAACGUGGACCCGUAAUCCGGGUUGCGGACAGUGUCUGGUGGGUAGUUUGACUGGGGCGGUCUCCUCCUAAAGAGUAACGGAGGAGCACGAAGGUUGGCUAAUCCUGGUCGGACAUCAGGAGGUUAGUGCAAUGGCAUAAGCCAGCUUGACUGCGAGCGUGACGGCGCGAGCAGGUGCGAAAGCAGGUCAUAGUGAUCCGGUGGUUCUGAAUGGAAGGGCCAUCGCUCAACGGAUAAAAGGUACUCCGGGGAUAACAGGCUGAUACCGCCCAAGAGUUCAUAUCGACGGCGGUGUUUGGCACCUCGAUGUCGGCUCAUCACAUCCUGGGGCUGAAGUAGGUCCCAAGGGUAUGGCUGUUCGCCAUUUAAAGUGGUACGCGAGCUGGGUUUAGAACGUCGUGAGACAGUUCGGUCCCUAUCUGCCGUGGGCGCUGGAGAACUGAGGGGGGCUGCUCCUAGUACGAGAGGACCGGAGUGGACGCAUCACUGGUGUUCGGGUUGUCAUGCCAAUGGCACUGCCCGGUAGCUAAAUGCGGAAGAGAUAAGUGCUGAAAGCAUCUAAGCACGAAACUUGCCCCGAGAUGAGUUCUCCCUGACUCCUUGA